UCCUUGAUGGCCUAGUGGUUAGGACUCGGCAUUUUCACUGCUGCAGCCCAGGUUCAAUGCCUGGUCUGAGAA
This 72-nucleotide transfer RNA is filed under the name Sus scrofa (pig). It matches the Rfam family "tRNA". From Rfam's summary of the family: Transfer RNA (tRNA) molecules are approximately 80 nucleotides in length. Their secondary structure includes four short double-helical elements and three loops (D, anti-codon, and T loops). Lineage: Eukaryota; Metazoa; Chordata; Mammalia; Artiodactyla; Suidae. The record is from Rfam by way of RNAcentral.